This 588-nucleotide ribosomal RNA is filed under the name fungal sp. TZ-2015b. Its description in RNAcentral is "eukaryotic LSU rRNA". The stretch from base 239 to 392 matches the Rfam family "5.8S ribosomal RNA". The record is from RNAcentral. Lineage: Eukaryota; Fungi.
AUUCUAGGAGCAAGGCUAGACAGCACCCUCGCAGCUUGCUGCUUGGGGCUACCCGACUUCGGUCAGGUUUAGAGUCGUCAGGCCUCUCGGAGAAGCCUGGUCCUGAACUCCACCCUUGAAUAAAUUACCUUUGUUGCUUUGGCAGGCCGCCUCGUGCCAGCGGCUUCGGCUGUUGAGUGCCUGCCAGAGGACCACAACUCUUGUUUUUAGUGAUGUCUGAGUACUAUAUAAUAGUUAAAACUUUCAACAACGGAUCUCUUGGUUCUGGCAUCGAUGAAGAACGCAGCGAAAUGCGAUAAGUAAUGUGAAUUGCAGAAUUCAGUGAAUCAUCGAAUCUUUGAACGCACAUUGCGCCCUCUGGUAUUCCGGGGGGCAUGCCUGUUCCAGCGUCAUUAUAACCACUCAAGCUCACGCUUGGUAUUGGGGUUCGCGGAUUCGCGGCCCCUAAAAUCAUUGGCGGGGCCUGUCGGCUCUACGCGUACUAAUACUCCUCGCGAUUGAGUCCGGUGGUUUACUUGCCAGCAACCCCCAAUUUUUACAGGUUGACCUCGGAUCAGGUAGGGAUACCCGCUGAACUUACCAUAUCAA